This 392-nucleotide ribosomal RNA is filed under the name uncultured bacterium. RNAcentral describes it as "partial 16S ribosomal RNA". It matches the Rfam family "Bacterial small subunit ribosomal RNA", at positions 523 to 918 of the family's 1533-position model. The record is from RNAcentral.
AUACGUAGGUGGCAAGCGUUAUCCGGAAUUAUUGGGCGUAAAGAGGGAGCAGGCGGCAGCAAGGGUCUGUGGUGAAAGCCUGAAGCUUAACUUCAGUAAGCCAUAGAAACCAGGCAGCUAGAGUGCAGGAGAGGAUCGUGGAAUUCCAUGUGUAGCGGUGUAAUGCGUAGAUAUAUGGAGGAACACCAGUGGCGAAGGCGACGAUCUGGCCUGCAACUGACGCUCAGUCCCGAAAGCGUGGGGAGCAAAUAGGAUUUGAUACCCUAGUAGUCCACGCCGUAAACGAUGAGUACUAAGUGUUGGAUGUCAAAGUUCAGUGCUGCAGUUAACGCAAUAAGUACUCCGCCUGAGUAGUACGUUCGCAAGAAUGAAACUCAAAUGAAUUGACGGGG